Cinara cedri is the source of this 283-nucleotide non-coding RNA. Lineage: Eukaryota; Metazoa; Arthropoda; Insecta; Hemiptera; Aphididae. The record is from the annotation of a GenBank genome assembly.
UAAGAACACGCAAACACGCUCACUUCAAACUUGGAUUUUUAUAAGUCUUACAAAAUAAUUUGUUUCACAGGGAAAAUCUAAUUAAACUAAAUUGACUUCUUAAUAAUAUUAUCGGCUAUAAUUUUCGUACGUAAGCACAUUAAUAAUGUAAUUUUUUUCGGAGCAUAUUUUAGUGCAUAUAUUUGGUUGUUUUUUUCAAACAUGUCUGUACAUUCGCGUGGUCACCGUUUAUAGUGAUUACACUCGUCCGAGAAUAUUUUGAUUGCAAUAAUAAGCGGUGAUU